This 2413-nucleotide long non-coding RNA is filed under the name Homo sapiens (human). RNAcentral's name for it is "HSALNT0347618". Lineage: Eukaryota; Metazoa; Chordata; Mammalia; Primates; Hominidae. The record is from RNAcentral.
UCAGAUAGUUGUAGAUAUGCGGCGUUAUUUCUGAGGGCUCUGUUCUGUUCCAUUGAUCUAUAUCUCUGUUUUGGUACCAGUACCAUGCUGUUUUGGUUACUGUAGGCUUGUAGUAUAGUUUGAAGUCAGGUAGUGUGAUGCCUCCAGCUUUGUUCUUUUGGCUUAGGAUUGACUUGGUGAUGCGGGCUCUUUUUUGGUUCUAUAUGAACUUUAAAGUAGUUUUUUCCAAUUCUGUGAAGAAAGUCAUUGGUAGCUUGAUGGGGAUGGCAUUGAAUCUAUAAAUUACCUUGGGCAGUAUGGCCAUUUUCACGAUAUUGAUUCUUCCUACUCAUGAGCAUGGAAUGUUCUUCCAUUUGUUUGUAUCCUCUUUUAUUUCAGCAAGGCCGGUGGACCCCGCCCCGCCCCUUUGCGGGUACGGGGGGGCGCCAGGGGCCUCCCACUUAUUCUACACCUCUCAUGUCUCUUCACCAUGCCAGACUAGAGUCAAGCUCAACAGGGUCUUCUUUCCCCGCUGAUUCCGCCAAGCCCGUUCCCUUGGCUGUGGUUUCGCUGGAUAGUAGGUAGGGACAGUGGGAAUCUCGUUCAUCCAUUCAUGCGCGUCACUAAUUAGAUGACGAGGCAUUUGGCUACCUUAAGAGAGUCAUAGUUACUCCCACCAUUUACCUGUGCUUCAUUGAAUUUCUUCAAUUUGACAUUCAGAGCACUGGGCAGAAAUCACAUCGCGUCAACACCCGCCGCGGGCCUUUGUGGAAUGGUGCUAAAAUAUUUAAACAAUGGAGAAAAAACUCUUAAGUAGAUUAAGCUACCCAUGAGACACAGGCAAGGAGAUGAAUGGUUUGAAUGAUAUAAUUGAAGGAUUUAGGAAUGACAUGGCCAGAAAUGCCAGUCAACUGGGAGGGCUGGUCAACUAUCUAAAGACACCAUGUUGUCCUACGGUAAAAUCAAGUGUGGUGAAGAGGAAGCUGAGUUGUGCAUGUGGCAAAGGUCUGAAUUAACAGACUGUAUUUAUUUAAUUUCUAUAGUCUGAAUACGAUGGGGCAAUAAAGCUAUAUUCAGAGAAGAUACUUUAGGGAAAUAUUUCGGAGCUGGGUGGAACUGAGUGAAUCAUCCUGUCCAACAGUCUCGGCCAAGAGCAGAAAACUGAGAAAACUCUUCCUGGUCAUUUGGUAGCUCAAGAAUCACCCCUGGAGAAGUUUCAGCUCAGUAGCUCAAGUCACAAACCCAGAUAAUAUAAUAGAUUUUGCUUUAAGUUCAAAAAGAUGACAAUUGAUAAAUGAAAGAUAGUCAUAGACAGUAAGUAAGUACUAAGUGAUUCAUCAGCACAUAGCACUGGUUAAAAAGUCUUUAUACAGACAUCAGACUUAACCCCAUUUAAAAAAUUAUUUGAAGAAAAGGCAGAGUGAGGGGCAAUAACUCACAUUACACAAUGGAUUUAUGUAAAGCAUCACUUAACCAAAGUUUUCAUGGUCAAUGCCAGCUCUUUCGGGUCCAAGGUGAUUAGGACACACCUGUAUGAAGUACAGUCUGGCAGCCACAGAGAGGAAGCAAAACACAUUUCUUAAUUAAAACUGGAGGAAAAUUGUGAGUGCUGGGAAUGUAAUUAUGUGAGUUGGAAAUGGGCCAGGAUUUUGCUAGAGCUCUCACGAUCUUUCAAAAUGAAAACUCAUCAGAUUUUUAAGUCUGAAGUUUCUGUUUUAUUUUACGGUGGUUAGAAUACCUAACAUGAAAUCUACCUUCUUAACAAAGUUUUAAGUGUACAAUACAGUAUUGUUGACUCUAGACAUGAUGUUGAACACCAGAUCCCUAGAGCUUAUUCAUCUUGCUUGAUUAAAACUAUAUGGCUCCUGAUUAGUAACAACCCUUUUCCCAAUCGCCCCAGCCUUGAUGACCACCAUUCUAGCUCUUUGAGUCUAUGAACUUGACUCUUUUAGAUACCUCAUGUAAGUGAAAUCUGUGACCAGCUUUUUUCACUCAGCAUGAUGUCCUCAAGGUUCAUCUAUGUUGUUGCAUAUUGCAGAAUUUCCUUCUUUUUUAAGGCUGAAUAGUGUUCCAUUGUAUGUAUAUAGUCAUGUGUCACUUAAUGACAGGGACACAUUCUGAGAAAUGCAUCAUCAGGUGGUUUCAUCACUGUACAAAUGUCAUAGAAUGCACUUACACAAACCUAAGUGGUCUAGCCUACUAUACUCCUAGGCUAUACAGUAUAGACUAUUGCUCCUGGGCUACAAACCUGUACGGCAUAUUUGUGUACUGAAUACCAUAGGCAAUUACAACACAAUGGCAAGGAGUUGUGUGUCUAAACAUAGGAAAAGUACAAUAAAAAUAAAGUAUAAGGCCGGACGCGGUGGCUCACGCCUGUAAUCCCAGCACUUUGGGAGGCCGAGGCGGGCAGAUCAUUUGAGGUCAGGAGUUCGAG